This 460-nucleotide ribosomal RNA is filed under the name uncultured bacterium. Its description in RNAcentral is "partial 16S ribosomal RNA". It matches the Rfam family "Bacterial small subunit ribosomal RNA", at positions 338 to 795 of the family's 1533-position model. The record is from RNAcentral.
CCUACGGGAGGCAGCAGUGAGGAAUAUUGGUCAAUGGGCGUAAGCCUGAACCAGCCAAGUCGCGUGAGGGAUGAAGGUUCUAUGGAUCGUAAACCUCUUUUAUAAGGGAAUAAAGUGUGGGACGUGUCCUAUUUUGUAUGUACCUUAUGAAUAAGGAUCGGCUAACUCCGUGCCAGCAGCCGCGGUAAUACGGAGGAUACGAGCGUUAUCCGGAUUUAUUGGGUUUCAAGGGUGCGUAGGCGGCCUUUUAAGUCAGCGGUGAAAAUCUGUGGCUCAACCCUAGAACUGCCGUUGAAACUGGGGGGCGUGAGUUGGUUAGAGGCAGGCGGAAUGCGGGGGGUAGCGGUGAAAUGCUUAGAUAUCACGCAGAACCCCGAUUGCGAAGGCAGCAGGCCAAGCCAUGACUGACGCUGAUGCACGAAAGCGUGGGGAUCAAACAGGAUUAGAUACCCUAGUAGUC